GUCAGCUAGGGUCGUUGCAGCGAAUGCCACUGAAAGAAGUGUGAUAAGGAAAUGUGGUAAUUUCCGACAUAGCUAUCAAUUCUACCAUAUUUUCAAAAUUGUUGUUGCUUUUCCACAAUAAAAAUUUUCAUUUGAA
Long non-coding RNA from Rhagoletis zephyria (snowberry fruit fly), 136 nucleotides. RefSeq lists it as uncharacterized. Lineage: Eukaryota; Metazoa; Arthropoda; Insecta; Diptera; Tephritidae. The record is from RefSeq and is a predicted model, not a curated record.